RNAcentral lists this transfer RNA (98 nucleotides) under Actinomycetota bacterium. RNAcentral describes it as "Actinobacteria bacterium (freshwater metagenome) tRNA-Sec". It matches the Rfam family "Selenocysteine transfer RNA". Lineage: Bacteria; Bacillati; Actinomycetota. The record is from RNAcentral.
GGAGGUGCGGGGGCUCCGGUGGGCCUCGCGGUCUUCAAAACCGUUGUGGGGCGCUGCUCAGCGUCCUGGGUGGGUUCGACUCCCAUGCAUCUCCGCCA